UCUCGACUAUAAAUCAACUUGGUUUACCAGAGUACUAUGAAUAAAUAAAAUUUAAAACUCAAAGAGCUUGGCGGUGUUUUAGACCUUUCAGGGGAACCUGUCUCGUAAUCGAUAGUCCACGUUAAACCUAACCUUUUUUUGUAAAUCAGUUUGUAUACCGUCGUCGUCAGGUAACUUUUAAAAAUUUAUAAGUUAGCAGAUAAAACAUUAAAUAAGUUUAAACGUCAGAUCAAGGUGCAGCCAAUAAAAAGGUGAAGAUGGGUUACAAUUAUAAAAUUAUAAUAAUGAAUUGAUCAAUGAAAUUUUUUCUUGAAGGAGGACUUGAAAGUAAAGUAUAGAUAUUAUAAAAGAUAUUUGAAUAUGGCUCUGAAACGUGC
This 377-nucleotide ribosomal RNA is filed under the name Olivella sp. BOLD:ACT1866. RNAcentral's name for it is "partial 12S ribosomal RNA". The record is from RNAcentral. Lineage: Eukaryota; Metazoa; Mollusca; Gastropoda; Neogastropoda; Olividae.